This is a long non-coding RNA of Juglans regia (Persian walnut), 776 nucleotides long. RefSeq lists it as uncharacterized. The transcript is spliced from 4 exons. The record is from RefSeq and is a predicted model, not a curated record. Lineage: Eukaryota; Viridiplantae; Streptophyta; Magnoliopsida; Fagales; Juglandaceae.
UCUUUCAACUUACACUUAUAGAUAAGCUAAUAUCUUUCAUAGGACAUAACAAAUUUAGUAGAUUCUAAGUCAAAAGAAUAUAUUGGCAUGUUGAAAGUUGAAGUGCUAAUGAGAUUGUCUUAUUUUCUUUGUGUUUGUGGUGGGAAUGACCGGAAUGCUGCAUUUGCAUAACCAAUUACUUGGACAGGGAAGAAUUAAGGAGGUUGCCAUGUUCCCAUGUCUUCCACCUCAAGUGCAUAGAUCAAUGGCUCCAAAUUAUAUCUUCUUGUCCUCUUUGUAAACAAGAACUAGGGAGUUUAUGUGGAUCAAGGAUUUUGAUCUGGAAGGCCUUAACAAACUCUUCUCAUUGUGUUCUUUCUUCUACCUCAAGGUGCUUAGUAUGGUGUUAAGAUAUUGCCUGGUGUUCCAUGGUACAAAUAACGCCUCCUCCAUCAGAAAUCUCUUGGUUCGCUAAUGGUCAUUAUUCUCAUAAGGACUGUGCAAUAUAAUUUCUCUAAGCUGAGGCAGUUAACAUCAAUGAAGAAUGCAUUACGUUUUGAGAAGAAGAGUUGAAGAAUGAAGUUUUGAGAUUAAGACAAUUUUGAGAUCAUGACGAAGGCCAGCAGCUUCCAAGGGAUGAUCAAGGCUUGCUUAGGAAACUCUAGUUACUCUAUAUUGAAGAGAGGACACCUAUAAAACAAUAUUGAUAUAUUGUGGGGUGUUAAGUAGUACUUUAGACUAAACUAUCAUCAAUUUCAAUUUGAGCAAUUUUCAUUAAUGUAUGAUGUUGGGGAUGU